This 292-nucleotide ribosomal RNA is filed under the name uncultured bacterium. Its description in RNAcentral is "partial 16S ribosomal RNA". It matches the Rfam family "Bacterial small subunit ribosomal RNA", at positions 335 to 644 of the family's 1533-position model. The record is from RNAcentral.
GUCCUACGGGACGCAGCAGUGGGGGAUAUUGCACAAUGGGGGAAACCCUGAUGCAGCGACGCCGCGUGAGUGAAGAAGUAUUUCGGUAUGUAAAGCUCUAUCAGCAGGGAAGAAAAAAGACGGUACCUGACUAAGAAGCCCCGGCUAACUACGUGCCAGCAGCCGCGGUAAUACGUAGGGGGCAAGCGUUAUCCGGAUUUACUGGGUGUAAAGGGAGCGUAGACGGCAAUACAAGUCGGAAGUGAAAUACUCGGGCUCAACCUGGGAACUGCUUUGGAAACUGUAUGGCUGG